This 447-nucleotide ribosomal RNA is filed under the name uncultured bacterium. RNAcentral describes it as "partial 16S ribosomal RNA". It matches the Rfam family "Bacterial small subunit ribosomal RNA", at positions 29 to 523 of the family's 1533-position model. The record is from RNAcentral.
AACGAACGCUGGCGGCAGGCUUAACACAUGCAAGUCGAGCGCCCCGCAAGGGGAGCGGCAGACGGGUGAGUAACGCGUGGGAAUCUACCCAUCUCUACGGAACAACUCCGGGAAACUGGAGCUAAUACCGUAUACGUCCUUUUGGUGAAAGAUUUAUCGGAGAUGGAUGAGCCCGCGUUGGAUUAGCUAGUUGGUGGGGUAAUGGCCUAGCAAGGCGACGAUCCAUAGCUGGUCUGAGAGGAUGAUCAGCCACACUGGGACUGAGACACGGCCCAGACUCCUACGGGAGGCAGCAGGGGGGAGUAUUGGACAAUGGGCGAAAGCCUGAUCCAGCCAUGCCGCGUGAGUGAUGAAGCCCCUAGGGUUGUAAAGCUCUUUCAACGGUGAAGAUAAUGACGGUAACCGUAGAAGAAGCCCCGGCUAACUUCGUGCCAGCAGCCGCGGUAA